Halosimplex carlsbadense 2-9-1 is the source of this 100-nucleotide non-coding RNA. The record is from Rfam. Lineage: Archaea; Methanobacteriati; Methanobacteriota; Halobacteria; Halobacteriales; Haloarculaceae.
CUGAUGAACGCGUACGGGUCAAUUGCGGCCUGCAACACCCAGUCUCGCUCCCCGUGCCCUCCGGAAUGGAGGUCGGGGAGGGGGAGCGCGUCUCCGUCAG